This is an RNA transcript of Nematostella vectensis (starlet sea anemone), 2213 nucleotides long. It is a transcript of the gene named autophagy-related protein 13, with no coding region annotated. The record is from RefSeq and is a predicted model, not a curated record. The transcript is spliced from 14 exons. NCBI's taxonomy places the organism in Eukaryota, Metazoa, Cnidaria, Anthozoa, Actiniaria, Edwardsiidae.
UAUGCAAAUAUGUUUUUUUUCUUUUUUCUAAUGUUGUGUUUCUUCCACUCUUUCACUUUUCUAUUCUUCAACAUGAAUUUCUAAAUCCACCUUUACCGACAGCCUAAUUCUAGCUUGCAUUUCAAAGCAAAACCAACGCAUGAUGGAUACAAAAAAUAACCUUCCUGUCAUUUCCAUCUUGAUGGUGUACCUGUGCUGGAUAACGCCGUGUAGUGGACUAAAGCGAGAUUUGUCAACAUGGCGGCCAUGACGGCAACAGAGAGAGCGAAAAGACGAUCGAAAUAUUUACUAAAUUAGUCACUUCUACCUCUCAAAACAAAAAAAAAAUUAUGAGAUGUAGACAUUUAGAGGGAUAUUGUAAAUAUGAGUGGUAUUUUAGCUCCUCAGGAACAGAAAGAUCUGCAAAAAUUCCUGAAGUUCUUGUCGCUAAAGACUGUCCAAGUCAUUGUCCAGUCAAGACUUGGCGACAAGGUUCACACAAGAUCCAAACCUAAUGCUAUGGGUCAAGACUGGUUUAAUCUGGCCAUUGAUGAUAUUCCGGAGAUCACUGAUGAGACUAAGAAAGCGAUGUCUGGUAGAUUGACAUCUGUGGAUGUACCAAUGUGCAUUGAGAUAUCACUCAAGACCAACGAGGGAGAUUCAAUGGUCUUGGAGAACUGGUGUCUAGGCAUGAACCAAAGACAAGAUGCACAUGCAAAGAUCACCUACACAGUGUACAACCGCAUGGGAAUGCUGCUCAAGUCACUUCUAUCAGUCACCAGGGUAACACCAGCAUAUCGACUGGCCAGGAAACAAGGACUGGAUUAUGUCAUGUGUUACAGAGUCUACUUUGGUGAUGUGCGUGUCAAAGAGCUUGGAGAAGGGUUUCAGACCAUUCAUGUCGGCUCUGUGGGAACACCAGUUGGUUCCAUUACAUUGUCAGCCGCUUAUCGCACUAACCUUACCAUGGCUGACAGGACUCCUGUUAUGCCUCUGAAGAGUGAUCACUACAGUGUCCAGGAGCACACCCAGGUUACCCCUGAACCAACAACGCCUUGCGGUGCCUGGACUAUGCCUGAUGUGGCUACUACUGGCAGGAUCAACAUUGCUGAGGAAAUUGCAAGUGCAACAGCCACUGAGGUGACUGAGCCUCACCCUAGGCCUGCAGUGCAUUGUGCACACCCCUCGCAAACAUGCCAAGCGAGCAUGAGGUCUAAGACUAUUCCUCAAGCAUUUAAUAACCCAAACACCCACCAUGCCAAGGGGGCAUUUGCAGGAUCUCCUGUAAGCCAUGGCCGGUCAUUGCCUGUCUUAUCGUCAACACCUCCAUUCGCAUCACUAUUGUGUGACCGUGAUAGCCCAAAGCAGACUGUCACACCAGACAGUUCAACUCGCAGCUCAGGAUCAUCACAGCGGAAAAGCUCAUCUUAUUUACAAAGAAAAGACAGCUCAUCAGAGUCGGUUGAUGGUAGACCUCCCCAGUCAAACGCCUCUCCUGGUCUCUGGGCAGCGGAUGAUGACUUUGUCAUGGUAGAACUGAAGCCAGCAUUUGCCUGUAACUCUGCUGUGGACGGGGACUUGGGAAGUUUCUUCCGUGAAUGUCAGGCAGCACCUCCCCUUAACUUAUUCCAGCAAGGCAGGGACCUCACCCUUGGCAAUAUCAUGGUAUGGCUACCCCCCCUUAUGUAACUUAUUCCAGCAAGGCAUGGACCUCACCCUUGGCAAUAUCAUGGUAUGGCUACCUCCCCUUAUGUAACUUAUUCCAGCAAGGCAUGGACCUCACCCUCGGCAAUAUCAUGGUAUGGCUACCUCCCCUUAUGUAACUUAUUCCAGCAAGGCAGGGACCUCACCCGUGGCAAUAUCAUGGUAUGGCUACCCCCCCUUAUGUAACUUAUUCCAGCAAGGCAUGGACCUCACCCUUGGCAAUAUCAUGGUAUGGCUACCUCCCCUUAUGUAACUUAUUCCAGCAAGGCAGGGACCUCACCCUUGGCAAUAUCAUGGACGAUCUCGAUGUUCAGCUAAGUAGUUACGAGGAAUGCCUGCCGAUAUUCGACGAACUUGUGGCGAACCUUCAGCAAUCUCAGAUUUCCACACAUCACGCAAAUUAAAUAUCUGUGGCAACCUUAUAAAUAACUAGAAUUGUACAGUCAAAUACAUGAGAAUUAUGAAUAAUUGUGUAUAAAUCGUAUGUAAUAAAUGCAGUGUUUAUAAUUGAAUAAACAGUUGCGCGACCA